ACCAUGUUGGACAAGCUGGUCUUGAAUUCUUGACCUCAAGUGAUCCGCCAGCCUCGGUUCCCCAAAGUGUUGGGAUUACAGGAGCGAGCCACCACGCCCAACCAACAAGUGCCCUUUAAAUACAUCCUCCCUUCUCUCUGCUUGCAGGCUUUGAUAUGCCCACCAUGUGACUUUUCGCCCCUUCCAAGAUUUCCAACCAAUCCCCUCCUUCCUGUUUCCCGUUGGGCUUUGGGGAAUGUACCAUAUGGACUCUGCGGGCAGACGGAGAGGACGAAAGGCGUGGCGACCGCUUAUUUCUUUGGCUUUUGCACGUAUCCCAUGAGAUUCUGGCAAGGCUGAGCGUGCAGGUAGCAGUGGGAUCCCUGAGGAUGGGAGCCAGUGCACUGAGAUCUCUCGCCUCCGAGGCUAGGGUCCUGUGGUCCGCCCGAGGGCCGCAACCCCCGCCCUUUCAUGUGCCUGCCUCGCCCCCGGCUGCGCCGAUGCUCCUGCUGCUGCUGCUGCUUACCGCGCCGGACGCCGGGGCUGCGGGACAGGGCGGCACUGGCCGGCUACUGGGACGCCGGCGCCUAGGGACACCGCAGCAUGAGGCAGAGAAACAGGAACUAAAGAGUUUUAACUGGGCACCGCUAUAGCAGUGGCUGUUGAUCAUCGUCUCCUGGCUGGAACCAGGGAAUCCUGUCGUUCAGGGAGGAGCAACGCAGCAGCAGGCAUGCCUUCUCAGCCCCAGCUGACUCACUCUGGGGUGGAUGGAUGUAUUUACUUACUUAUUUAUUAUUUGGUUCUUGCUCUGUCGCCCAGGCUGGAGUACAGUGAUGCAAUCUCGGCUCACUGCAGCCUGGACCUCCCGGGCUCAAGCGAUCCCACCUCAGCCUCCCAAGUAGCUGGGACUUCAGGCACAUGCCACUACGCCAGCUAAUUUUUUAAACGUUUUGUAGAGACAGGCUCUCGCCCUGUUGCCCAGGCUGGUCUUGAACUCCUGGCCUCAAGCCGUCUGCCCACCUUGGCCUCCCAAAGUGCUGGGAUUACAGGUGUGAGUUACCACACUCAGCCCACUCGGUUUUGAGUGGCCAUUUGCUU
This 1077-nucleotide long non-coding RNA is filed under the name Macaca mulatta (Rhesus monkey). RNAcentral's name for it is "lncRNA (ENSMMUG00000062236.1)". The record is from RNAcentral. Lineage: Eukaryota; Metazoa; Chordata; Mammalia; Primates; Cercopithecidae.